RNAcentral lists this long non-coding RNA (1029 nucleotides) under Homo sapiens (human). RNAcentral's name for it is "HSALNT0344839". Lineage: Eukaryota; Metazoa; Chordata; Mammalia; Primates; Hominidae. The record is from RNAcentral.
GGGUUAUUCAUGCCUGUAAUCUCAUAAUGAAGGGGUGGCCUGCCCCUCCACACCUGUGGGUAUUUCUAGUCAGGUGGGAUGAGAGACAAAAAAGAAAUAAGACACAAAGUAUAGAGAAACAACAGUGAGCCCAGGGGACCGGCGCUCAACAUACUAAGGACCUGCACUGGCACAGGUCUCUGAGUUCCCUCAGUUUUUAUUGAUUAUUAUCUUCAUUAUUUCAGCAAAAAGGAAUGUAGUAGGAGGGCAGGGUGAUAAUAAGGAGAAGGUCAGCAACAAACAUGUGAGCAAUAGAAUCUAUGUCAUAAUGAAGUUGAAGGGAAGGUACUAUGACUGGACGUGCACGUAAGCCAGAUUUAUGUUUCUCUGCACCCAGACAUCUCAGUGGAGUAAAGAAUAACAAGGCAGCAUUGCUGCAAACAUGUCUCACUUCUCACCAUAGGGCGGUAUUUCUCCCAUCUCAGAACUGAACAAAUGUACAAUCGGGUUUUAUACCGAGACAUUCAGUUCCCAGGGGCAGGCAGGAGACAGUGGCCUUCCUCUAUCUCAACUGCAAGAGGCUUUCCACUUUGACUAAUCCACCUCAGCACAGACCCUUUAUGGGUGUCGGGCUGGGGGACCAUCAGGUCUUUCUCAUCCCACGAGGCCACUUUUCAGACUAUCACAUGGGGAGAAAUCUUGGACAAUACCCAGCUUUCAAGGGCAGGGCUCCCUGCGGCUUUCCACAGUGCAUUGUGCCCCUGGUUUAUUCAGACUAGAGAAUGGCGAUGACUUUUACCAAGUAUAUUGCUUUCAAACAUUUUGUUAACAAGGCACGUCCUGCACAGCCCUACAUGCCUUAAACCUUGAUUUCAUACAACACAUGUUUAAGGCAUGUAGGGCUGUGCAGGACGUGCCUUGUUAACCAAAUAUUUGGAAGCAGUAUACUUGGUAAAAGUCAUCACCAUUCUCUCGUCUCAAUAAACCAGGGGCACAAUGCACUGUGGAAAGCCGCAGGGACCUCUGCCCUUGAAAGCUGGGUAUUGUCCA